RNAcentral lists this ribosomal RNA (163 nucleotides) under Coptis chinensis. Its description in RNAcentral is "5.8S ribosomal RNA". It matches the Rfam family "5.8S ribosomal RNA". From Rfam's summary of the family: 5.8S ribosomal RNA (5.8S rRNA) is a component of the large subunit of the eukaryotic ribosome. It is transcribed by RNA polymerase I as part of the 45S precursor that also contains 18S and 28S rRNA. Lineage: Eukaryota; Viridiplantae; Streptophyta; Magnoliopsida; Ranunculales; Ranunculaceae. The record is from RNAcentral.
UAACGACUCUCGGCAACGGAUAUCUAGGCUUUCGCAUCGAUGAAGAACGUAGCGAAAUGCGAUACUUGGUGUGAAUUGCAGAAUCCCGUGAACCAUCGAGUCUUUGAACGCAAGUUGCGCCCGAGGCCUUUAGGCCGAGGGCACGUCUGCCUGGGCGUCACGC